This 648-nucleotide unclassified non-coding RNA is filed under the name Hevea brasiliensis (rubber tree). The record is from RNAcentral. Lineage: Eukaryota; Viridiplantae; Streptophyta; Magnoliopsida; Malpighiales; Euphorbiaceae.
GGGGAAUUCAGGAUCUCGUAAUAGAAUACGGAGAAGUUAAGGGCCAGCCCUAGCCGAAUUGGAUGAGUCGGAGCUAGGUCAGCAAGAGCAAUAUCCUGGGCCGACUUGUAUGCCAAAAGUGUAUUCUCGGCAGCCUCCUUCCUCUCCACCCCCGUCUUGAACUCAGCAAGAUACCUGUGAUAAUCACCCUUCAUCUUAAGGUAGAAGACCUUCGACUCAGCAGUAGCGGCAGACGGGACAAGGUGGGAGUCUAGCAGUUUAAGGAUCCCGUCGCAUAUCUUGCUGAGCUCAGCCUCGAUCUUACCACGAUAGUCCUUAAUCAAAACCACAUGGUCCUCAUUCCCACGGCUCUCCUCCUUCUGCUCAAUAGAGGAGAUGAUUCGCCACGAAGCCCGGCGGGCACCAAUAACAUUCUUAUACGCAACCGACAGCAAAUUGCGCUCCUCGACAGUGAGCUCCUCCCCAGCAUCCACUGUCUUAGCAACCUUCUCCAUGAACUCCACCAUCUCCUCAUACCGCUCAGCUUGCUCCGCAAGCUUCGCCAUGUACACACUCUCGUCCCGGGACGACUCCACCGGCGACAUCUUUCCUCUCUAGUUGAUUCUAGUUGAUUCUUGACGGUCGAAACCCUAGAAAUCUCGCGCUUCG